AACGAACGCUGGCGGCAGGCCUAACACAUGCAAGUCGAGCGCCCCGCAAGGGGAGCGGCGGAAGGGUGAGUAACGCGUGGGAAUAUGCCCUUUGCUACGGAAUAGUCUCGGGAAACUGGGGGUAAUACCGUAUACGCCCUUUGGGGGAAAGAUUUAUCGGCGAAGGAUUAGCCCGCGUUGGAUUAGGUAGUUGGUGGGGUAAUGGCCUACCAAGCCGAGGAUCCAUAGCUGGUUUGAGAGGAUGAUCAGCCACACUGGGACUGAGACACGACCCAGACCCCGACGGGAGGCAGCAGUGGGGAAUCUUAGACAAUGGGGGCAACCCUGAUCUAGCCAUGCCGCGUGAGAGAUGAAGGCCUUAGGGUUGUAAAGCUCUUUCAGCUGGGAAGAUAAUGACGGUACCAGCAGAAGAAGCCCCGGCUAACUCCGUG
Molecule: ribosomal RNA, 431 nt
Filed under: uncultured bacterium
Lineage: Bacteria
Description: partial 16S ribosomal RNA
Rfam family: Bacterial small subunit ribosomal RNA
Source: RNAcentral